This 66-nucleotide ribosomal RNA is filed under the name Dissoconium aciculare. RNAcentral describes it as "partial 28S ribosomal RNA". The stretch from base 10 to 66 matches the Rfam family "Eukaryotic large subunit ribosomal RNA", at positions 1 to 57 of the family's 3401-position model. RNAcentral also lists the same sequence under 1 other name. The record is from RNAcentral. Lineage: Eukaryota; Fungi; Ascomycota; Dothideomycetes; Mycosphaerellales; Dissoconiaceae.
CUUCAAGGUUGACCUCGGAUCAGGUAGGGAUACCCGCUGAACUUAAGCAUAUCAAUAAGCGGAGGA